GAUGAAGUAUGCUGGGGAUCACUGCAUUGUGACCUCAUUUUCCAGGGCAGUCUUGAUUUCCAACAUUCUGUUCUCAGAAUCGAAGUGUUUUAAGUUUUAGAAUACACUACCAUCCAAAUUAGAGCCUUUCUAGUUUUGAUGGAGUAUGUCCUUAGAACUGCUGGGUCCUUCAUCAUCAUAAAUCCAAACCUUCCCGGGAAGGAGUUGAGCAUGGUGCAACACACCUAUUACCUCAGCUUCCUGAAAGGCUGAGGAGGAGAAGCACAAGACUCGAGGAUGUUAAAAAAAAAAAGGUCAUUUCAGUUGCCUUUAGCUGCAACAGUUCUUGGUGGAAGGGUUUCUGUCCUGAGAUGUUCAACCUAAAGAGAUCUGCAUUACGAAAGGAAUCAGCCUGAGAAGAAAGCCUCUUGGGAUGAGUUACAAUUACUUUUCUCAAAGAUUACCUUUUGACAUAUCCUUUUGGUUUGGAGCAAAAAGGGAAGAAUCACCUGGGUAAUUAUGACAAUUCUUUACAUUUCUCAAAGGGGGUAUUUAUAUAAUUAAUAGAAAAACCUAACAUG
Rattus norvegicus (Norway rat) is the source of this 560-nucleotide non-coding RNA. The record is from RefSeq and is a predicted model, not a curated record. Lineage: Eukaryota; Metazoa; Chordata; Mammalia; Rodentia; Muridae.